This 25-nucleotide unclassified non-coding RNA is filed under the name Mus musculus (house mouse). RNAcentral's name for it is "oocyte_clustered_small_RNA12954". Lineage: Eukaryota; Metazoa; Chordata; Mammalia; Rodentia; Muridae. The record is from RNAcentral.
UCACUGUCUCGGGCUUUGAAAGUGU